GACCGGCUGCCAAGGCCCCACUUUUAACUAAAAGAGGCGCUGCCAGGUGCACAAUUCUGGGCAUGAUCCAUUUGAGCUUCGGGGGAAAGCCCAGCACUGGUCCCAGGGAAGGUGCCUAGAAGGACACGGAGCGGACCCCUUUGGGCUCUGCUUCCUCCCCUGAGAUGUGGAGUGAAUGCUGAGCAUGGAGCGGAGGGAGCUCAAGUUACCACUUUCUCCAGCCACCCUGGUACCUUCAGCCCUGAAGUACAGAGCAGAAGGGUCUUAGAAGACAGGACCACAGCUGUGAGUCUCCCCUGUGACCUUAGACAAUCUCUAAGCUCAGCUGAGGCUUGUGUGCCAAUGUGGAGAAGUGAGCCAUUGACCUUG
RNAcentral lists this long non-coding RNA (369 nucleotides) under Rattus norvegicus (Norway rat). Its description in RNAcentral is "long non-coding RNA NONRATT023523". Lineage: Eukaryota; Metazoa; Chordata; Mammalia; Rodentia; Muridae. The record is from RNAcentral.